GACGAACGCUGGCGGCGUGCUUAACACAUGCAAGUCGAACGGAAAGGCCCUGCUUUUGUGGUGUGCUCGAGUUGCGAACGGGUGAGUAACACGUGAGUAACCUGCCCUUGACUUUGGGAUAACUUCAGGAAACUGGGGCUAAUACCGGAUAGGAGCUCCUGCUGCAUGGUGGGGGUUGGAAAGUUUCGGCGGUUGGGGAUGGACUCGCGGCUUAUCAGCUUGUUGGUGGGGUAGUGGCUUACCAAGGCUUUGACGGGUAGCCGGCCUGAUAGGGGGACCGGCCACAUGGGGACUGAGAUACGGCCCAGACUCCUACGGGAGGCAGCAGUGGGGAAUAUUGCACAAUGGGCGGAAGCCUGAGGCAGCAACGCCGCGUGCGGGAUGACGGACUUCGGGUUGUAAACCGCUUUCGCCUGUGACGAAGCGUGAGUGACGGUAAUGGGUAAAGAAGCACCGGCUAACUACGUG
RNAcentral lists this ribosomal RNA (468 nucleotides) under uncultured bacterium. RNAcentral describes it as "partial 16S ribosomal RNA". It matches the Rfam family "Bacterial small subunit ribosomal RNA", at positions 28 to 507 of the family's 1533-position model. The record is from RNAcentral.